Molecule: non-coding RNA, 31 nt
Filed under: Rattus norvegicus (Norway rat)
Lineage: Eukaryota; Metazoa; Chordata; Mammalia; Rodentia; Muridae
Source: RNAcentral
UGUCUUGGAACUCCCUCUGUAGACCAGGCUA